CCUACGGGGGGCAGCAGUGAGGAAUAUUGGUCAAUGGGCGGAAGCCUGAACCAGCCAAGUCGCGUGAGGGAAUAAGGCCCUACGGGUCGUAAACCUCUUUUGCCGGGGAGCAAGGGCGGGGACGUGUCCCGGUCCGGAGAGUACCCGGAGAAAAGGCAUCGGCUAACUCCGUGCCAGCAGCCGCGGUAAUACGGAGGAUGCGAGCGUUAUCCGGAUUUAUUGGGUUUAAAGGGUGCGUAGGCGGGCUUUUAAGUCAGCGGUAAAAAUUCGGGGCUCAACCCCGUCCGGCCGUUGAAACUGGGGGCCUUGAGUGGGCGAGAAGAAGGCGGAAUGCGUGGUGUAGCGGUGAAAUGCAUAGAUAUCACGCAGAACCCCGAUUGCGAAGGCAGCCUUCCGGCGCCCUACUGACGCUGAGGCACGAAAGUGCGGGGAUCGAACAGGAUUAGAUACCCGAGUAGUC
This 460-nucleotide ribosomal RNA is filed under the name uncultured bacterium. Its description in RNAcentral is "partial 16S ribosomal RNA". It matches the Rfam family "Bacterial small subunit ribosomal RNA", at positions 338 to 795 of the family's 1533-position model. The record is from RNAcentral.